UCGAACCAUCUAGUAGCUGGUUCCCUCCGAAGUUUCCCUCAGGAUAGCAGGAGUUGAAGAGAAAGUGUGUGUGACAGUUUUAUCAGGUAAAGCGAAUGAUUAGAGGUCUUGGGGGCGCCAAGUCGCCUUAGCCUAUUCUCUAAACUUUAAAGUGGGUAAGCAGCGGGCCGUUUCUUUGGUGAACGCCCGCGCGCGUGUGCAAUGUCAACAACUCUUAGUGGGCCAUUUUGGUAAGCAGAACUGGCGAUGCGGGAUGAACCGAACGUCGAGAUACGGUGCCAGAAUUCACGCUCAUUGGACACCACAAAAGGUGUUACUUCAUCUAGACAGCAGGGCGGUGGCCAUGAAAGUCGGCAUCCGCUAAGGAGUGUGUUAUGACUCGCCUGCCGAAUGAAGUAGCCCUGAAAAUGGAUGGCGCUUAAGCGUGAUACCUAUACUCGACCGAUAGUGCGAAUGCAAUGCAAUGCGUGUGCACUAUCGAGUAGGAGGGC
Molecule: ribosomal RNA, 491 nt
Filed under: uncultured eukaryote
Lineage: Eukaryota
Description: eukaryotic LSU rRNA
Rfam family: Eukaryotic large subunit ribosomal RNA
Source: RNAcentral